CUGGGAGCCGGGCAGCGGCAGGCGAGCGGCCGCGUCUUCGGGACCCUGCUGCAGUGUCCCCGUGGCCCGCGGGCCAGCGUCACCCAGGAGGUGGGAGAAACCACGAACUUGACAUUGCCACAAUGCUGUAAACUCUGGCUCGCAUCAGCCGUGACACCUGACCCACUUAGUACAUCUCAGCUGCCUUGCCUGCUGCAGGAGUGAGUGACUGGUGCCCUCCUCGGACAGCUGCUGGCAAUUGGGAACUGUGGAGAAGGUUCACCUAGCCAGAAAGGGGAAAGAUAAAGUCAAAGAUGAGAACAAGAAGGAAAUCAUGAUUUAAGGUGUUGAACCAUCAUGAAAUCACAAACACAGACAAAACAAUGGAAGGAAAGAUCAUGCACUACCCAAGAGCCUCAAUAUGCAUCUAUCUAUCGAAGACAGGCCCAAGGGACUCAGAACGAAA
Molecule: long non-coding RNA, 445 nt
Filed under: Heterocephalus glaber (naked mole-rat)
Lineage: Eukaryota; Metazoa; Chordata; Mammalia; Rodentia; Bathyergidae
Description: lncRNA (ENSHGLG00100049009.1)
Source: RNAcentral